Molecule: long non-coding RNA, 475 nt
Organism: Hippocampus zosterae (dwarf seahorse)
Lineage: Eukaryota; Metazoa; Chordata; Actinopteri; Syngnathiformes; Syngnathidae
Exons: 2
Source: RefSeq, a predicted model, not a curated record
GCCGAGGGGUGAGCAUUCACACACGCAAUUUGACUUGUCCCAAAUAGAUAAUGGACAUUUUUCUAUUUGAAACAACAUCUGGCAAAAUGCCGUACAAACCAUACAAGUUUUUUUCAAUCCUGAAAUGCAAACAUUAAAAAAUUAAUAAUAAUCUAGGGGCUGCUGGAGCCGAUCCCAGCCGACUUCUGGUGGACGAAAUCCUUUGUUCCCCCCUUUAGUUUCUUUAAUGCAGAGAGAUGACAAUGCGCAGUGGUGUACCUCCAGUGGGAUCGCCGCCUGCCGCCACUCUUGGCUGAGGUUGGCUUCAGGGAUCCGGCAUCGGUGCUGGGGCGUGUCCGUUACGAAGACCAGUGAGAAGGAGCCUGUACCAUUUGGCAAGGCGGUGGAGCAGAGCAGAAAAAAAACCAAGAACUGGAAGCGACCCCACGUUCCCAGGAAGGCCACGCUGCCAUCAUAGUCCCACAUCUUCCGGAAG